Molecule: long non-coding RNA, 527 nt
Filed under: Eucalyptus grandis
Lineage: Eukaryota; Viridiplantae; Streptophyta; Magnoliopsida; Myrtales; Myrtaceae
Description: long non-coding RNA (EGRA_LNC007092)
Source: RNAcentral
UACAGAUUAAGCAGCACAUGGCCCCGGCUAGGAAGACGAACCAAGGCCAUCCGGGGAUGUUCUCAUGGUUGGAUUCGAAGGCAUCGAGGAUCAACGAAUGUUGUAUCUGUCCUAAAUGCGAAUCCUGCAGACAAAACCAGAGUAUGUUUGUUCAGUCAGUCCAUCCAGUAAAUGAUUUCAUAAUCAUUAAGGAAUUAGAUUUCUUCUUUAAGUCAGAUUUCAACAGAGAUGUGUACAACCUAUGCUGCUUUCACUUGAGCUCGCGUUAAUAUCGAUUGAAUGCUUUAUGGUAGUACAGAACAACACUUAUGUAAGCCAUCAUUACUAUUUGAUACAUAAUUCCGAUUCGGUAAAUGUUGCAAAUUCCUAAUUGGCAUAUUUCUCCAUGCGCAAUAGCAGUGACAAAGCAAAGCAAAGCAAAGCAAAGCAAAGCAAAGCCCCCUGGUUCAUGAAAGUCUCCUGGAGGCGAAACUGGAGAAACAAUCUGCAGCUAAUUCUGAGGCAGUGCUAACAACACAAAAUUACGA